Long non-coding RNA from Nannospalax galili (Upper Galilee mountains blind mole rat), 1226 nucleotides. RefSeq lists it as uncharacterized. The record is from RefSeq and is a predicted model, not a curated record. The transcript has 4 exons. Lineage: Eukaryota; Metazoa; Chordata; Mammalia; Rodentia; Spalacidae.
AGUCACGCUUGAAGUCACCAGACUUGACCGUGCCACCAGCCCCUGUGAUUGAAUGGCUUGGCUGGCCACAACCGUCAAACUUACUUUCUGGAGACCCUAACAGCUCGGAGCCGGAGACCGGACAUUUACCUCAGAGCUCUGUGCUUCACUUUGGAGGAACAAGGAGGGAAAAGGGCAAUGCCACCUCCCAUUUGGGCUCCUCUCCUGCCUCCAUGACAGAAGGGGGCCACCAGGUUUUUCAAGGGGGAAGAAAGUCAGGCUCCAUGGUUCCUGGGAUGCGAUGCUGUCCAGGAACAGCCACCAACCAAACUCCAACUGUGCUGCUGUGACCAAAGGACCUUGGUCCCAAGGUAUUUUCUGAAGGGCUCACAAAUAAAGUGAGAGAGCUCCUGGGACUAUGCUAGUGCUGGGUGUGAGAUCCACCUGGCCCCAGCCCCAGUCCUUGAUGGAGGCUGAGUUCAUCCUUGUGGCUGUCUCUCAAAGUCGACUCACUGGCCUGGCAGCACGGGACGCAGCCUGAAAGUACUGUCAAGCUGCGGACAUUUCCUAUCAUUUCACAUUCCCAAGUGGGGCCACAUCCUGGAGACAGCGUUUGUUUUGAUGGCUGGUGACAGUGUUCCAGAGGCUGGUUCUGCAGGGCACCACGGCUUGCUCGUCAGCCCCAGGCCUCCUCUCCACCCCCUUGGUCAAGGGCCAGAGAAGCCUGGGUUAACUCAGACACCCAGGCAGAGAAGGCCUUUCUGAUUGGGUGCCUCAGCUUUGUCAUAGAUACUGCCGCUGCCCAAAGAGCACCUUGUCUUCCAUCCUGAUGGCUGUAGACACAUGCUUGCUGCAAAAGUAGUUCCCUGAGGUCAAGGCCAUCCUUCUAGAACAUGCUGUCUUCAGCCGGGCACCUAAUAUAUAUAUAGCUGACACGUGAACCUGCCCUGCGGCCUUUCAAAGGGUGCUUCUUUAUUUACCUAAUAUAAUUCACUUCCCUUUCUGAAGUCAGGCCACCAGCACCUAUCCGACAGCACCCAGCACAUCCCAGACUUCAGCUCUGGGAGGUAGUUGAGACAAGGAGCUUGCAUUCUGCUGAGGGAACAUGUUGAAAAACUCAGGAAAUAGGAAGUGCUUAAAAAUGGAGACAGCUCCAUUGGUAAAGCACUUGCUGGGAAAGCAUGAGGGCCUGAGUUCAAUUCCCAGAACCUGAGUUUAAAAAAAAAUAAUAAUAACAAUAAUACUAG